UUACAGAAAAUCCCUCAUUAUUUGCAAUCUUUUCUUGUUAUUCUUCGUUGCUGUUUUGUCUGCUUCUGUCUAUUGCAGGUACGGAGGAGUCCAGCUGGCGGUACGGAGAUGCACACGAGGGCAGAGACUCGGCACGCGCCUGGGAGGGUCUCGUGUGUGUGGCUAGCGGCGGCUGAGGCAGAAGGUUGCCGAAGGCUAGGGUUUCAGUCUCAGUUAGGCUAGGUGUUGGGCUAGAGUUUAGGUUAGUGGGCUAAUUAAUAGGCUGUUUGUAUUGGGCCUAGUGGGUCUAGUGUAAUGGGUUUACUGUAGUGGGACUUUAAAAUGGACUUUGAAUUUUAAUUGAAUUUGUUUGUUUUUAUUUUUAUUUUUAUUGGGUUUAUUUGCUAACGGGACCCGGGCAAAAAUGGGUAUUACAGUGUAUAUUCUUGAAAUUGUUAAAUUCAUGUGUCUUGUCUACCGUUUGGAUAGUUUUUGC
This 475-nucleotide long non-coding RNA is filed under the name Gossypium barbadense (sea-island cotton). RNAcentral's name for it is "long non-coding RNA (GBAR_LNC014085)". The record is from RNAcentral. Lineage: Eukaryota; Viridiplantae; Streptophyta; Magnoliopsida; Malvales; Malvaceae.